This 1380-nucleotide ribosomal RNA is filed under the name Lactobacillus sp. CPP1. RNAcentral's name for it is "16S ribosomal RNA". It matches the Rfam family "Bacterial small subunit ribosomal RNA", at positions 93 to 1460 of the family's 1533-position model. Lineage: Bacteria; Bacillati; Bacillota; Bacilli; Lactobacillales; Lactobacillaceae. The record is from RNAcentral.
GAGUGGCGAACUGGUGAGUAACACGUGGGAAACCUGCCCAGAAGCGGGGGAUAACACCUGGAAACAGAUGCUAAUACCGCAUAACAACUUGGACCGCAUGGUCCGAGUUUGAAAGAUGGCUUCGGCUAUCACUUUUGGAUGGUCCCGCGGCGUAUUAGCUAGAUGGUGGGGUAACGGCUCACCAUGGCAAUGAUACGUAGCCGACCUGAGAGGGUAAUCGGCCACAUUGGGACUGAGACACGGCCCAAACUCCUACGGGAGGCAGCAGUAGGGAAUCUUCCACAAUGGACGAAAGUCUGAUGGAGCAACGCCGCGUGAGUGAAGAAGGGUUUCGGCUCGUAAAACUCUGUUGUUAAAGAAGAACAUAUCUGAGAGUAACUGUUCAGGUAUUGACGGUAUUUAACCAGAAAGCCACGGCUAACUACGUGCCAGCAGCCGCGGUAAUACGUAGGUGGCAAGCGUUGUCCGGAUUUAUUGGGCGUAAAGCGAGCGCAGGCGGUUUUUUAAGUCUGAUGUGAAAGCCUUCGGCUCAACCGAAGAAGUGCAUCGGAAACUGGGAAACUUGAGUGCAGAAGAGGACAGUGGAACUCCAUGUGUAGCGGUGAAAUGCGUAGAUAUAUGGAAGAACACCAGUGGCGAAGGCGGCUGUCUGGUCUGUAACUGACGCUGAGGCUCGAAAGUAUGGGUAGCAAACAGGAUUAGAUACCCUGGUAGUCCAUACCGUAAACGAUGAAUGCUAAGUGUUGGAGGGUUUCCGCCCUUCAGUGCUGCAGCUAACGCAUUAAGCAUUCCGCCUGGGGAGUACGGCCGCAAGGCUGAAACUCAAAGGAAUUGACGGGGGCCCGCACAAGCGGUGGAGCAUGUGGUUUAAUUCGAAGCUACGCGAAGAACCUUACCAGGUCUUGACAUACUAUGCAAAUCUAAGAGAUUAGACGUUCCCUUCGGGGACAUGGAUACAGGUGGUGCAUGGUGUCGUCAGCUCGUGUCGUGAGAUGUUGGGUUAAGUCCCGCAACGAGCGCAACCCUUAUUAUCAGUUGCCAGCAUUAAGUUGGGCACUCUGGUGAGACUGCCGGUGACAAACCGGAGGAAGGUGGGGAUGACGUCAAAUCAUCAUGCCCCUUAUGACCUGGGCUACACACGUGCUACAAUGGAUGGUACAACGAGUUGCGAACUCGCGAGAGUAAGCUAAUCUCUUAAAGCCAUUCUCAGUUCGGAUUGUAGGCUGCAACUCGCCUACAUGAAGUCGGAAUCGCUAGUAAUCGCGGAUCAGCAUGCCGCGGUGAAUACGUUCCCGGGCCUUGUACACACCGCCCGUCACACCAUGAGAGUUUGUAACACCCAAAGUCGGUGGGGUAACCUUUUAGGAACCAGCCGCCUAA